RNAcentral lists this ribosomal RNA (506 nucleotides) under uncultured bacterium. RNAcentral describes it as "partial 16S ribosomal RNA". It matches the Rfam family "Bacterial small subunit ribosomal RNA", at positions 29 to 523 of the family's 1533-position model. The record is from RNAcentral.
AUUGAACGCUGGCGGCAGGCCUAACACAUGCAAGUCGGACGGUAGCACAGAGGAGCUUGCUCCUCGGGUGACGAGUGGCGGACGGGUGAGUAAUGUCUGGGGAUCUGCCCGAUAGAGGGGGAUAACCACUGGAAACGGUGGCUAAUACCGCAUAACGUCGCAAGACCAAAGAGGGGGACCUUCGGGCCUCUCACUAUCGGAUGAACCCAGAUGGGAUUAGCUAGUAGGCGGGGUAACGGCCCACCUAGGCGACGAUCCCUAGCUGGUCUGGGAGGAUGACCAGCCACACUGGAACUGAGACACGGUCCAGACUCCAACGGGAGGCGGCAGUGGGGAAUAUUGCACAAUGGGCGCAAGCCUGAUGCAGCCAUGCCGCGUGUAUGAAGAAGGCCUUCGGGUUGUAAAGUACUUUCAGCGGGGAGGAAGGCGGUGAGGUUAAUAACCCUGCCGAUUGACGUUACCCGCAGAAGAAGCACCGGCUAACUCCGUGCCAGCAGCCGCCGUAA